Molecule: ribosomal RNA, 549 nt
Filed under: uncultured Glomeromycotina
Lineage: Eukaryota; Fungi; Glomeromycota
Description: SSU rRNA
Rfam family: Eukaryotic small subunit ribosomal RNA
Source: RNAcentral
UUGGAGGGCAAGUCUGGUGCCAGCAGCCGCGGUAAUUCCAGCUCCAAUAGCGUAUAUUAAAGUUGUUGCAGUUAAAAAGCUCGUAGUUGAAUUUCGGGGUUAGUAGGUUGGUCAUGCCUCUGGUACGUACUGGUCUCACUGAUUCCUCCUUCCUGAUGAGCCGUAAUGCCAUUAAUUUGGUGUUGCGGGGAAUUUGGACUGUUACUUUGAAAAAAUUAGAGUGUUUAAAGCAAGCUAACGCUUGAAUACAUUAGCAUGGAAUAAUGGAAUAGGACGUUCGAUCCUAUUUUGUUGGUUUCUAGGAUUGACGUAAUGAUUAAUAGGGAUAGUUGGGGGCAUUAGUAUUCGAUUGUCAGAGGUGAAAUUCUUGGAUUUAUUGAAGACUAACUACUGCGAAAGCAUUUGCCAAGGAUGUUUUCAUUAAUCAAGAACGAAAGUUAGGGGAUCGAAGACGAUCAGAUACCGUCGUAGUCUUAACCAUAAACUAUGCCGACUAGGGAUCGGAUGAUGUUAAUUUUUUAAUGACUCAUUCGGCGCCUUACGGGAAAC